GACGAACGCUGGCGGCGUGCCUAAUACAUGCAAGUCGAACGCACUCUCGUUUAGAUUGAAGGAGCUUGCUCCUGAUUGAUAAACAUUUGAGUGAGUGGCGGACGGGUGAGUAACACGUGGGUAACCUGCCCUAAAGUGGGGGAUAACAUUUGGAAACAGAUGCUAAUACCGCAUAAAACCUAACACCGCAUGGUGUAGGGUUGAAAGAUGGUUUCGGCUAUCACUUUAGGAUGGACCCGCGGUGCAUUAGUUAGUUGGUGAGGUAAAGGCUCACCAAGACCGUGAUGCAUAGCCGACCUGAGAGGGUAAUCGGCCACACUGGGACUGAGACACGGCCCAGACUCCUACGGGAGGCAGCAGUAGGGAAUCUUCCACAAUGGACGAAAGUCUGAUGGAGCAACGCCGCGUGAGUGAAGAAGGUUUUCGGAUCGUAAAACUCUGUUGUUGGAGAAGAAUGUAUCUGAUAGUAACUGAUCAGGUAGUGACGGUAUCCAACCAGAAGUMUGAAWWUUYG
RNAcentral lists this ribosomal RNA (514 nucleotides) under uncultured bacterium. RNAcentral's name for it is "bacterial SSU rRNA". It matches the Rfam family "Bacterial small subunit ribosomal RNA", at positions 28 to 505 of the family's 1533-position model. The record is from RNAcentral.